Molecule: ribosomal RNA, 1247 nt
Filed under: Sesame phyllody phytoplasma
Lineage: Bacteria; Bacillati; Mycoplasmatota; Mollicutes; Acholeplasmatales; Acholeplasmataceae
Description: bacterial SSU rRNA
Rfam family: Bacterial small subunit ribosomal RNA
Source: RNAcentral
GUGGCUAAGACUGGAUAGGAAGAAAUAAGGCAUCUUAUUUCUUUUAAAAGACCUAGUAAUAGGUAUACUUUAGGAGGGGCUUGCGCCAUAUUAGUUAGUUGGUAGGGUAAUGGCCUACCAAGACGAUGAUGUGUAGCUGGACUGAGAGGUUGAACAGCCACAUUGGGACUGAGACACGGCCCAAACUCCUACGGGAGGCAGCAGUAAGGAAUUUUCGGCAAUGGAGGAAACUCUGACCGAGCAACGCCGCGUGAACGACGAAGUACUUUGGUAUGUAAAGUUCUUUUAUCAAGGAAGAAAAGCAAGUGGCGAACCAUUUGUUUGCCGGUACUUGAUGAAUAAGCCCCGGCUAAUUAUGUGCCAGCAGCCGCGGUAAGACAUAAGGGGCAAGUGUUAUCCGGAAUUAUUGGGCGUAAAGGGUGCGUAGGCGGUCUAGUAAGUCAGUGGUGUAAUGGCAACGCUCAACGUUGUCCGGCUAUUGAAACUGCUAAACUUGAGUUAGAUAGAGGCGAGUGGAAUUCCAUGUGUAGCGGUAAAAUGCGUAAAUAUAUGGAGGAACACCAGAGGCGUAGGCGGCUCGCUGGGUCUUAACUGACGCUGAGGCACGAAAGCGUGGGGAGCAAACAGGAUUAGAUACCCUGGUAGUCCACGCCGUAAACGAUGAGUACUAAGUGUCGGGUUAAACCGGUACUGAAGUUAACACAUUAAGUACUCCGCCUGAGUAGUACGUACGCAAGUAUGAAACUUAAAGGAAUUGACGGGACUCCGCACAAGCGGUGGAUCAUGUUGUUUAAUUCGAAGAUACCCGAAAAACCUUACCAGGUCUUGACAUGUUUUUGCGAAACGGUAGUAAUAUCGUAGAGGUUAUCAGAAACACAGGUGGUGCAUGGUUGUCGUCAGCUCGUGUCGUGAGAUGUUAGGUUAAGUCCUAAAACGAGCGAAACCCUUAUCGUUAGUUGCCAGCACGUUAUGGUGGGGACUUUAACGAGACUGCCAGUGAUAAACUGGAGGAAGGUGAGGAUCACGUCAAAUCAGCAUGCCCCUUAUGACCUGGGCUACAAACGUGAUACAAUGGCUGUUACAAAGGGUAGCUGAAACGUAAGUUCUUGGCCAAUCCCCAAAAACAGUCUCAGUCCGGAUUGAAGUCUGCAACUCGACUUCAUGAAGUUGGAAUCGCUAGUAAUCGCGAAUCAGCAUGUCGCGGUGAAUACGUUCUCGGGGUUUGUACACACCGCCCGUCAAACCAC